GCUAGGCAUGGUGGCUCAUGCCUGUAAUCCCAACACUUUGGGAGGCUGAGGUGGGUGGAUCACCUGAGGUCAGGAGUUUGAGACUAGCCUGGCCGACAUGGUGAAACCCCAUCUCUA
RNAcentral lists this non-coding RNA (117 nucleotides) under Nomascus leucogenys (northern white-cheeked gibbon). The record is from Rfam by way of RNAcentral. Lineage: Eukaryota; Metazoa; Chordata; Mammalia; Primates; Hylobatidae.